AAGGUACUCCCUCCGUUCGGAAUUACUCGUUCGAGAAAUGAAUGUAUCUAGAUGUAUUUUAGUUGUAGAUACAUCCAUUUUUGUGACAAGUAAUUCCGAACGGAGGGAGUAGAAA
Molecule: non-coding RNA, 115 nt
Organism: Triticum aestivum (bread wheat)
Lineage: Eukaryota; Viridiplantae; Streptophyta; Magnoliopsida; Poales; Poaceae
Source: Rfam